RNAcentral lists this long non-coding RNA (720 nucleotides) under Cairina moschata (Muscovy duck). RNAcentral describes it as "domestica (muscovy Duck (domestic type)) lncRNA (ENSCMMG00000017159.1)". The record is from RNAcentral. Lineage: Eukaryota; Metazoa; Chordata; Aves; Anseriformes; Anatidae.
CAAUUCUUCAUUAGGAGGAAUGAAGAGCUGAACCAUAACCACUCAGCCCCCUCACAGCAUCCAAACAGAGCUUGUAAAGCGGGGCCAGGCCUCUGCCACCCUUGCCUCCGUCCUCCAGCCCCUGUGCUCAGCAAACCGAGAGCCAAGGACAUGUACCCUCUCCAGGGUUGUCAACCGACCAGUGACAGGAAGCAGGUCUAAAGGCUCAUUUAACUGCAAAACAGCACCUGUCUUUUUAGGCGAGAGCAGGCUUUGCUUGUCAGCCCUGUCAGCAGCAGGGGCCCUGCCUGGAGGCACCCGAUUGUGUCAGAGGGGUCACACUGAGCACUGCGACACGCAGCACUGGCUGGCAUGGGGGCAGGAGGCUGUCGGCACGUUUUCUCUGCAAGGACAGCGGGAACUCAAGAUCAAAAAUGCUGAAGAUUGGAAACGUCCCAAUAUACUCCUUCUGUCACAUCUACGUUGUUGGACUGUUUUUACCUCCUCACUAAAGAUGGUCAGAGAUGAAGCCAAAUACAAGCAUGAGAGGAAGUUCUAGAGUUGAGAAGCAAAAUUACAUGGCAGAGGAGAAAGAUUCCUUCACCUGUUCUGUCAGAUGAAUCAAUGUGCAGCAGCACUGUCUGGAGGAAUUCCCUUAUGCUUGUAAAUUGCAAACGACUGGAGCUACCCAACACAGUCAUCUGCCUGCUUGAUACCUGAAAUUACUCAUUUGGAUAAUUC